This 587-nucleotide ribosomal RNA is filed under the name uncultured bacterium. Its description in RNAcentral is "partial 16S ribosomal RNA". It matches the Rfam family "Bacterial small subunit ribosomal RNA", at positions 355 to 938 of the family's 1533-position model. The record is from RNAcentral.
UGGGGAAUAUUGGACAAUGGGCGCAAGCCUGAUCCAGCCAUACCGCGUGGGUGAAGAAGGCCUUCGGGUUGUAAAGCCCUUUGUUGGGAAAGAAAUCCAGCUGGUUAAUACCCGGUUGGGAUGACGGUACCCAAAGAAUAAGCACCGGCUAACUUCGUGCCAGCAGCCGCGGUAAUACGAAGGGUGCAAGCGUUACUCGGAAUUACUGGGCGUAAAGCGUGCGUAGGUGGUCGUUUAAGUCUGUUGUGAAAGCCCUGGGCUCAACCUGGGAACUGCAGUGGAAACUGGACGACUAGAGUGUGGUAGAGGGUAGCGGAAUUCCUGGUGUAGCAGUGAAAUGCGUAGAGAUCAGGAGGAACAUCCAUGGCGAAGGCAGCUACCUGGACCAACACUGACACUGAGGCACGAAAGCGUGGGGAGCAAACAGGAUUAGAUACCCUGGUAGUCCACGCCCUAAACGAUGCGAACUGGAUGUUGGGUGCAAUUUGGCACGCAGUAUCGAAGCUAACGCGUUAAGUUCGCCGCCUGGGGAGUACGGUCGCAAGACUGAAACUUAAAUGAAUUGACGGGGUCAUAGCUGUUUCCGU